This 281-nucleotide ribosomal RNA is filed under the name Alexandrium margalefii. RNAcentral describes it as "partial Bacterial small subunit ribosomal RNA". It matches the Rfam family "Bacterial small subunit ribosomal RNA", at positions 8 to 296 of the family's 1533-position model. Lineage: Eukaryota; Dinophyceae; Gonyaulacales; Pyrocystaceae. The record is from RNAcentral.
AGAGUUUGAUCCUGGCUCAGAACUAACGCUGGCGGCGCGUCUUAAACAUGCAAGUCAAGCGGAUAUAGCAAUAUAUUAGCGGCGAACGGGUGAGUAAUACAUGGGUAACCUACCUCUAAGUUGGGGAUAACAUUCCGAAAGGAAUGCUAAUACCGAAUGUGUCCAACAAUACACAAGGAUAGUUGGGUAAAGUAGCAAUACGCUUAGAGAUGGGCCCAUGCCUGAUUAGCUAGUUGGUAGGGUAAAAGCCUACCAAGGCGACGAUCAGUAGCCGGCCUGAG